Long non-coding RNA from Arachis duranensis, 1010 nucleotides. RefSeq lists it as uncharacterized. Lineage: Eukaryota; Viridiplantae; Streptophyta; Magnoliopsida; Fabales; Fabaceae. The transcript is spliced from 4 exons. The record is from RefSeq and is a predicted model, not a curated record.
UGACCUAACUUCUUCUAACCCAGUAACCCCCACGCCCCACCCCCAAACGGAACCUAGCCCCUCUCUUCUCAGUUCUCACAGUCUCGCUCUCUACACCCUCAGCGCCGGCGAGACCGUUCCUCCCACCACCUCCCAGCGCCGCGAAUCCUUCCUCCCAGCGCCGCCGGAUCUUUCCUCCCACUGCUCCCAGGACCUCCUCGCGGACAGAGAGAGCACCACGAAGCCCCAGCCAUAGCCAGCGCCCAGCAGCCCAGCACCACCCUCGCACAGUCGCACCCAGCAGGCCAGCAGUAGCACAGCACCACCCACUCACCCAGGACCACCCAGCGGACAGAGCACCACGCCACCACCUAGCAUAGCACGACGCCACCACCCAGCAGCGUUUCUGGCCACCCACAACACAACACUUUCCACCCAGUCACCGAUUCAAGUCAGAGAUGGAGCCCGAGCCACUGAGUCAGAUUUCUGUUUACCGUGGUCUACAUAUAAAGGUGGACCAGCAUUACCGAGGAAGUUGAUCUCGCAGGGUGCUGCACAGAAGGACUGAUGCCAGAGAUAACAGUGUGUUAACUGUAAAAUUAAGCAAAAAGGCGAACAUAAGGGAACUAUAUGAAUUGGUGUGCAAAAUCAAAGGAGUAGAACAAAAAAAGAUAAUUUUGUUCAAUUUAUGUAAUGCUGUGAAGUGUGAAGUGUGAACUCCGUUCUUUGAUUUGGAGAUGCGAGAUGAAAACGAGGGUUGUUUGCAGGAAAAUCUAUGAUUACAUACGCUAUGAUCUCAAAGAGAUUGCUUCCCCAUCAUCUUUACCUAGGACGAGGGUAUUUGGGUAAUUUUAGUCACUGUUAUUGAUGUUUUGAGUAGACAAAGAUGCAAUUUCGGAGGACCUUACUUAGAGUUAAUUGAACUGGUGACACUUGGCUGUUGGUAACAUUCAAUCUUCAGGUUUUAAAGAGAGCUGCUAGGCUUUAUGCUGCAAGCUGGCUUCGUGAAAAACCUAACGGUGAAAAGAAAC